UACCCAUGUCCAGGUUGAAGGCGGGUAACACCGCCGUGGAGGACCGAACUCACUCAAGUUGAAAAUUGAGGGGAUGAGGUGUGGGUAGGAGUGAAAGGCUAAUCAAGCUGGGAUAUAGCUGGUUCUCCCCGAAAUAUAUUGAGGUAUAGCCUCGGACGAAUUGCGACGCAGGUAAAGCACUGAAUGGGCUAGGGGUCCUACCAGAUUACCAAACCCAAUCAAAACUCUGAAUGGCGUUGACAAGUAUCCGGGAGUCAGGCUGCGGGAGAAUUUCCGUAGCCGAGAGGGAAAGAGCCCAGAUCGUCGGCUAAGGUCCCCAAAUUCGAGCUAAGUGUCAAAGGAUGUGGAAGCGCAUUGACAACCAGGAGGUUGGCUUAGAAGCAGCCAUCCUUUAAAGAAAGCGUAAUAGCUCACUGGUCAAGCGAAUCUGCGCCGAAAAUAUAACGGGGCUAAGCUCGAUACCGAAGCCACGGGCUUUCGCAAGAAAGCGGUAGGGGA
RNAcentral lists this ribosomal RNA (498 nucleotides) under uncultured bacterium. Its description in RNAcentral is "bacterial LSU rRNA". It matches the Rfam family "Bacterial large subunit ribosomal RNA", at positions 731 to 1235 of the family's 2925-position model. The record is from RNAcentral.